This 200-nucleotide ribosomal RNA is filed under the name uncultured bacterium. RNAcentral describes it as "partial 16S ribosomal RNA". It matches the Rfam family "Bacterial small subunit ribosomal RNA", at positions 1302 to 1500 of the family's 1533-position model. The record is from RNAcentral.
AGCCUGCAACUCGACUGCAUGAAGCCGGAAUCGCUAGUAAUCGCGGAUCAGAAUGCCGCGGUGAAUACGUUCCCGGGUCUUGUACACACCGCCCGUCACACCAUGGGAGUCGGAAAUGCCCGAAGCCGGUGGCCUAACCGAUAAGGGAGGAGCCGUCGAAGGCAGGUCUGAUGACUGGGGUGAAGUCGUAACAAGGUAAC